GCCGCCAUAGUGAAAUGGAGUUCACGCGACCCUCCGGAGGUUGAGUUCUGGGUUCGAUUCCCAGUGGUGGCACCA
This 75-nucleotide transfer RNA is filed under the name Microbacterium phage Cece. Its description in RNAcentral is "tRNA-Arg". It matches the Rfam family "tRNA". From Rfam's summary of the family: Transfer RNA (tRNA) molecules are approximately 80 nucleotides in length. Their secondary structure includes four short double-helical elements and three loops (D, anti-codon, and T loops). Lineage: Duplodnaviria; Heunggongvirae; Uroviricota; Caudoviricetes. The record is from RNAcentral.